GUGUCAGCCGCCGCGGUAAUACGUAGGGAGCAAGCGUUGUUCGGAUUUACUGGGCGUAAAGGGCGCGUAGGCGGCGCGGUAAGUCACUUGUGAAAUCUCUGAGCUUAACUCAGAACGGCCAAGUGAUACUGCAGUGCUAGAGUGCAGAAAGGGCAAUCAGAAUUCUUGGUGUAGCGGUGAAAUGCGUAGAUAUCAAGAGGAAUACCUGAGGCGAAGGCGGGUUGCUAGGCUGACACUGACGCUGAGGCGCGAAAGCUAGGGGAGCAAACGGGAUUAGAAACCCCCGUAGUCC
RNAcentral lists this ribosomal RNA (292 nucleotides) under uncultured bacterium. RNAcentral describes it as "partial 16S ribosomal RNA". It matches the Rfam family "Bacterial small subunit ribosomal RNA", at positions 505 to 796 of the family's 1533-position model. The record is from RNAcentral.